RNAcentral lists this ribosomal RNA (432 nucleotides) under uncultured bacterium. Its description in RNAcentral is "partial 16S ribosomal RNA". It matches the Rfam family "Bacterial small subunit ribosomal RNA", at positions 29 to 506 of the family's 1533-position model. The record is from RNAcentral.
AACGAACGCUGGCGGCAUGCCUAACACAUGCCAGUCGAACGAGACCUUCGGGUCUAUUGGCGCACGGGUGCGUAACGCGUGGGAACCUGCCCUUAGGUUCGGAAUACCUCCCCGAAAGGGGUGCUAAUAACGGAUAAUGUCUUCGGACCAAAGAUUUAUAGCCUUUGGAUGGGCCCGCGUUGGAUUAGCUAGUUGGUAGGGUAAGAGCCUACCAAGGCGACGAUCCAUAGCUGGUCUGAGAGGAUGAUCAGCCACACUGGGACUGAGACACGGCCCAGACUCCUACGGGAGGCAGCAGUGGGGAAUAUUGGACAGCGCGCGAAAGCCUGAUCCAGCAAGGCCGCGGGAGUGAUGAAGGCCUGAGGGUUGUAAAGCUCGUUUACCCGGGAUGAUAAUGACAGGACCGGUAGAAUAAGCACCGGCUAACUCCGU